Molecule: ribosomal RNA, 384 nt
Filed under: Aurantiochytrium limacinum
Lineage: Eukaryota; Bigyra; Thraustochytrida; Thraustochytriidae
Description: partial Bacterial large subunit ribosomal RNA
Rfam family: Bacterial large subunit ribosomal RNA
Source: RNAcentral
GACGGAUCGCGGAAGGUUGUCCAGCUGUUGGAAUAGCUGGUUUCUGGUUCAUAGAAGGCGCUUAGGCAAAUCCGGGCGCGGAAUUCAAGGGACUGGGACGGGCACCCAUGUGGUGCGAAGCAAUCGGAAGUGGUUCCAAGAAAAGCCUCUAAGCUUCAGUCAUACGAGACCGUACCGCAAACCGACACAGGUGGGCGAGAUGAGUAUUCUAAGGCGCUUGAGAGAACUCGGGAGAAGGAACUCGGCAAAUUGGUACCGUAACUUCGGGAUAAGGUACGCCCCGGUAGCUUGACCACUUUACUGUGGAAGGGUGAAAGGGUUGCAAUAAACUGGUGGCUGCGACUGUUUAAUAAAAACACAGCACUCUGCAAACACGAAAGUGGA